UCGAGAAUCAUUCACAAUGGGGGAAACCCUGAUGGUGCGACGCCGCGUGGAGGAUAAGGUCUUCGGAUUGUAAACUCCUGUCAUGUGAGAGCAAGGCUCUAGCGUUAAUAGCGUUGGAGUUUGAUAGUAUCACAAGAGGAAGAGACGGCUAACUCUGUGCCAGCAGCCGCGGUAAUACAGAGGUCUCAAGCGUUGUUCGGAAUCACUGGGCGUAAAGGGUGCGUAGGCGGCUUGGUAAGUCAGAUGUGA
RNAcentral lists this ribosomal RNA (249 nucleotides) under uncultured bacterium. RNAcentral describes it as "partial 16S ribosomal RNA". It matches the Rfam family "Bacterial small subunit ribosomal RNA", at positions 355 to 597 of the family's 1533-position model. The record is from RNAcentral.